UUCGGGAGAAAGAUUUAUCGGCAAGAGAUGAGCCCGCGUUGGAUUAGCUAGUUGGUGGGGUAAAGGCCUACCAAGGCGACGAUCCAUAGCUGGUCUGAGAGGAUGAUCAGCCACACUGGGACUGAGACACGGCCCAGACUCCUACGGGAGGCAGCAGUGGGGAAUAUUGGACAAUGGGCGCAAGCCUGAUCCAGCCAUGCCGCGUGAGUGAUGACGGUCUUAGGAUUGUAAAGCUCUUUCACCGGUGAAGAUAAUGACGGUAACCGGAGAAGAAGCCCCGGCUAACUUCGUGCCAGCAGCCGCGGUAAUACGAAGGGGGCUAGCGUUGUUCGGAUUUACUGGGCGUAAAGCGCACGUAGGCGGACUUUUAAGUCAGGGGUGAAAUCCCAGAGCUCAACUCUGGAACUGCCUUUGAUACUGGAAGUCUUGAGUAUGGUAGAGGUGAGUGGAAUUCCGAGUGUAGAGGUGAAAUUCGUAGAUAUUC
This 484-nucleotide ribosomal RNA is filed under the name Ochrobactrum sp. Its description in RNAcentral is "bacterial SSU rRNA". It matches the Rfam family "Bacterial small subunit ribosomal RNA", at positions 195 to 699 of the family's 1533-position model. Lineage: Bacteria; Pseudomonadati; Pseudomonadota; Alphaproteobacteria; Hyphomicrobiales; Brucellaceae. The record is from RNAcentral.